This 255-nucleotide ribosomal RNA is filed under the name uncultured bacterium. RNAcentral describes it as "partial 16S ribosomal RNA". It matches the Rfam family "Bacterial small subunit ribosomal RNA", at positions 524 to 776 of the family's 1533-position model. The record is from RNAcentral.
UACGAAAAGUACGAGCGUUAUUCAGAUUGACUUGGCGUAAAGGGUAUGUAGGCGGCGGUACAAAACUAAAUAGGAAAAGCUGGGGAUUAACCUAAGAAAGCUAUUUAAAGAUUAUACCGCUAGAGUCCGGAAUGGGUUUGGAGAAUUUCAGAGAAUAGGGGUCGAAUCCAAUAACCUCUGAAAGAAGACCUGAGGCGAAAGCACCUUUCUGGUCCGGACCGACGCUGAGGUACGGAAGCGUGGGUAGCAAAUCGG